This 24-nucleotide non-coding RNA is filed under the name Arabidopsis thaliana (thale cress). Lineage: Eukaryota; Viridiplantae; Streptophyta; Magnoliopsida; Brassicales; Brassicaceae. The record is from RNAcentral.
CAGAAAAGGAUGGUUGUCGUAGUA